This 3653-nucleotide unclassified non-coding RNA is filed under the name Hevea brasiliensis (rubber tree). The record is from RNAcentral. Lineage: Eukaryota; Viridiplantae; Streptophyta; Magnoliopsida; Malpighiales; Euphorbiaceae.
UAAAAAGUACCAAAUAAUGCACCAUUAGCAGCCUUAAACCACAACUCCAAAAUAAUUCUUUACAAGUGCAAGUUUACAACAUUUAUUUUCAUCGUGCACAAAAAAGGCUCUUUGUAUUUUGCUUCCCACUCGCUUCGACAGCCCAUUUUCAUACACUUUUGCAACCUAAAGACGCUACAGAAUUAACUUAAAUAUGCAAAAAACAAAUACAAAAAAGACCUACCAUUUACAAUACAAGAAAAGAUUUCAAAACCCACUACUUUUGGGAGCAUCCCUACGCCAGGCCGUGCCAUGCUGCCCAGCUUCAAGUCCAGAUGGCGCUCCAUUAGACUGAUAGGCAGCAUUAACAUGGUUACUAGGAACUGUCCAAGUGCCCUGCAGCCACGACCGGGUAGUGUUUUGCUGACCAUGCAUCACAUUCAUUGGGGUUUGCAAAGGCAUGGCUUGUGGAGCAAUUUGAGGACGUGGCGUCUGCUGCACCAUAUGAGAACGUAACAUUAACUGUUGCAUGCCAUGCACCUGCACCGGCUGUAGCUGUGGAAUCUGUGUUUUGUUGUCUUCAGGGUGCCACUCAGGCAUGUCAUCGUCAUCAUCGUUCCAUGGUUGCAUUGCAACCCCAAUACUUCUAUUAUUCUGCCAAUUCCCUAGAGAGGCACUAGUUUGUCCAUAUCUUUGUACAAGCUGCCUCAUUUGAUCUACAGGUCGAGAUGGUUUUGGCGAAUGUAAUUGAUAAGGAGGCAUCCCUUGCCCCCGAGUAACACUAUGGGUGGAAAACUGUGGCCCUGAUGCAACAGAACCACGUGAAAAAUUAAACUCAGGUAAGUCAUCGUCAUCCCGAGUGGCCGGUGGGCCAAACCCAGGAGGCACAUCAUCAUCGUCAUCGUCAUCAGGUUCAACUCUAGUGUAGGUAGUAGGUCCAUUACUGGGUGAGGUCUGUUUAGGCGUGAGAUUCACAUUUACAUUAGCAUCCUUUUCUUGGCGUCUCCUAGAAAAGGAGUGUUGCUUUUUUGAAUUGUGUUUAUGGGGUGAUGCGGAGUUGGGUGACAUUGUUGACGUUAUUUGAGGUUUUCUCCAUACAAUAACACCAAUUAGACCAUUAUCAAUAGCAUUAAGGGCAUCAAUUUGGUCCUUUGGAAGGACCUUUGCAAGCAAUUCGCUAGUCUUUGACAGAGGUGGGCAGAAAUAGAGUUCCACUCCAGAAGCAGGCUCCGCAAAACCCACCCUCCCAUCCAUGACGUACGAAUCAGACACCUCACUAAAACCUGCACGCUCACUAUCUGCUGACCCCUCCUUGCAAACAAAGUGUAGAACCAUAACAGCACGACUUCGGGACAUUGGAAGCUCUUGAAGGAACUUCUCAAAUGCAUUCAGUCUGACCCUCCCCUUUAUCUCAAUAAAGCCAGACCAAUCUUUUGCAGAUGUUUUUUCACCACUUUUAAAGAUGCCAAUAACUGAUGCAGUUAACGAAAUAUUCAGCUGAAGUAAGCCUUCCCAAACAUGCUCACCCUUAGGCAUGGCAAGGGAAGGUGCUGCCUCUGAUUUUACAAGACAGCCGGUGGAUUGUCCAUCAGCAUCCAAUUUUGUAUUCUUCACAUCCGUAAGAUCAGGUUUACCAGAGGUAAUAUCAUCAAGAUCUCUUAGAGUUGCAUCGGGAGACUUGGAUUUCGAGACAACUUGUGAAUCAUCCUUUUCAGAGGCAGGUGUAGUUUUUCCAGUAUCCACUGGUAAAUUUUCAAAUGGUGGCUCUGAAUUAAGGGAUUCCAUGAACUCGUCAAGGGAGACAAUUGGAGGAAGAAAUUCUGCAUCUUUCAGUUCAUCAUCCACCAUGAGCCUUUGCAUCAAAUCAGUACCUUCGCUAGAAGCGAUCAUGAGAACAUUCUGGUCCUCUGAACAACUCUUUUCACUAACAGCAUUUCCUUUAGCUUGCAUUUGAUCAGGUUUGGAGGGUAAAGAGAUGUCCUGCUUUGGUUUGGGUUGCAUACGAGUGAGUGAACUUGCCCCAACAGCAACCUCCACAGAGACACUAUCCUCAGGUUCAACUUCUACUUGGAACUCACCCUUGUGUGUUUUCUUCACCAAUCUUCUCAUAUCAAUAUCAAAAUUAGGCAAUACCACCAUUUGAGCAAGCUCCUCAGCUUUUGCUAUCCGCCAUUGAGAAAGCUCCUUAGAUGCAAGCUCCUCUGCAGUCAUAGAGCAGAGUUUCUCAGGGGGGAUUUCUCCUGACAUAACUCUUUCUCUCAAUUCAGGAUUAUUAUGAUCCUUCAAAUUGAAUAACAGAGACCUGCCCUUCUCCUUAUAUUUCUUGUUUACUCCACCAAAUAAUUUGUAGAGUUCGGCUUCAAUUUUAGAUGCCAAAACUUGGGGGGACAGAGCCACUUGAUCUCCACUGUUCCUGCAGAAAACCUCUGGAUCUGGCUGUUUUUGGGCAGUUCCAACAUCCUUUUUUUCUUCCACUCUCAUAUCGGGUUCCAAUACCCAGGAUAGCCCAUUUCCCUGCAAAAGUUCAUCUUUAACCAAAAAGUUGUCACUAAACGAAGCAUCCUCAUCAUGCAGACCAAUAGUUGACUGAAAGGUCUGGCCAUCAUUUUUUGAGGUCUCUGUAGAAUCACCAGUACUAGAAGAAAUUUCUUGAGAUGUAUGUUCACCAUCAUUAGACUUCUGAGCUAAAGGAUCCAUCUUGGUGGGCAAAGAUCCUUUGUGCUCCUCAGACACAUCAGCAGUCCCAGAAGCAUUUUCAGAAGGUUGAGAAUUUUCCAGUAUUGGUCCUGCAGUACUAGCAUCCUCAUUAUUAGAGUUCUUACUGCUGCUUGAAGCUUUAUCCUGCCGCCGAGAAACCAAUGCUAGAGCUGCUGCUAAUGACUCCCUUAGCUUGGACCUUACAGAAUUGGAAGACACAUUUUGAAGCAUUGGAGAUCGUUGUCCACUUUGGUUUUUCUGAACUGGUAACUGCUGCAGACCAGCUUUGGUAGAUGUUGAUCUCUUAGAUGGUGCUUGUGAACGCUGCAAACCUGAAUUGUUAGAAAUGGACUGGGAUUGCAUCUGCACUGGUAAUUUAUUUGGUGCAGACAUUUUCUGCAGCCAUGGCCUAUUCUCUAUCUGUGCAACCCGCUUGUUAGGCAUUGAUAACUUCUGCAACCCAGGAUUACUGAAUGUGGGUUCUACAGGUGCCUUUCGCUUGCUCAACAUUGAUGGCUGCUGGGAUCCCACACUGCUCAACAUGGCUUCCAUCUCCCCUAGUUGCUUGCUAGGUGACAAGAACAGUUUUGACACUAGACUGUAUGCCUGUGGAUCCAUCUGUCCCAUUUGCAUGUUUGAUACUGAGAAUUUCUGCAAGACACAGUUAUCAGCCAUAUUUACAUUUUCCAGUGGCUGUGCCUGGUUGCUUGAUACUGAGAUCUGAAGUGAUUGUGUAUCAGUGGAACCCAGCCCCAUCAUUGCCAUCUCCUGCAAUGCAGGAUCAUUGAUCCCCGGUCCCAUUAUUCCCAUUUGUACUGAUGAGUGUAAUUUAUUUUGAAUGUGUUCCAGCUGACCCAUUUUGAUGCCCUGCAUUGGCAACUGACCAGAGAUUCACCGAAGAGGUCGACAGCUAAUCGCCGGAGAUAGAGUUGAAUAGCAAGAGAGUCGGUAACGGAGAUUUGUAAGCUCUUUUGGUU